GCCCAUACAAAUUUAAUUGCAUAUGAGAAAUGCAGUAUAGCUAGGGAAUGACCCCUAGGUCGUCUCCCAAAGACCAAUUUUGCGAUUCAGAAUCAAGUCAAACACACAGUGGGGGGGUUUUGUGAAAGGUUUGCGUGGUGAAUGCGGAAAUUUUAAAAUGAAAUUAAAUUAAAACGCAGAUGUAAAAACGUAAUUAAAUUCAAUUAAAACGAAAUUAAAUGCAACAAAACAUUUCACCAUGCAUGAAAAUGAAAUUAAAACAGUAAAACGAAACUGCUACAGUAAAUACGAAAAUUCACGCUGCAACUGGACAACUCUGACCUUUGCUCAAUGUUUUACCCAUAACUUUUUCUACAGAGCUCUAAAUG
RNAcentral lists this long non-coding RNA (368 nucleotides) under Vigna radiata. RNAcentral describes it as "long non-coding RNA (VRAD_LNC008615)". Lineage: Eukaryota; Viridiplantae; Streptophyta; Magnoliopsida; Fabales; Fabaceae. The record is from RNAcentral.